Molecule: ribosomal RNA, 664 nt
Rfam family: Eukaryotic large subunit ribosomal RNA (bases 251-664)
GUCGGCGGGCGUAUUUCGCCUCACAGUAGGUCGCCGCGACCCGUUGCUUUUGGGGACGUCGAAGGCCCGGACGGAUUGGUACCCUACCGGCUGGGGAUGCGGCUUCGGCUUCUCCUCUUGUCCGGUGGGCGAAACCGCCGGUGUCCUGGCUGCCCUGCGACGGUCGUAGAGACGAGCCCUCCCCUUCGGGGGGGCGGCUCUCGCGGCGUGCAAAAGGUCGGUGAUCCACCCGACCCGUCUUGAAACACGGACCAAGGAGUCUAACAUGUGUGCGAGUCAGUGGGCGCACUAAACCCAGAGGCGUAAUGAAAGUGACACGGGUUCGGCUGUCGCCUCGUGUGGCAGCCGGACUCAGGGCCGAUCCCUCACCGGUUGCCCUCGCCUCUCUCCCGCGUCUCGGUAAGCCGGGUGAGCUAUUUUCCCCGGCCGCUGCUGCGGGGCGCGGGGGGAGGCGGGGUUGCGAUGGUGUCCGUAAAAAAGAGCCUGCUGUUGCAGGGGGGCGCAGGCCCGGGACUUGCCAGGACGCCGCGAGACUGUCACUUUGCUGUGAGGCUCUCGGGCCGAUCAGCGGGUCAUGCGUGCAGUCGGCAAGUACCAUGAGCAGACAUGUUGGGACCCGAAAGAUGGUGAACUAUGCCUGGCCAGGAUGAAGCCAGAGGAAACU